RNA transcript from Mya arenaria, 663 nucleotides. RefSeq lists it as uncharacterized. The transcript has 2 exons. The record is from RefSeq and is a predicted model, not a curated record. NCBI's taxonomy places the organism in Eukaryota, Metazoa, Mollusca, Bivalvia, Myida, Myidae.
UGCAGAUUGUUCUAUAUGUUGAUCAGUUUAAUGAUUAACGAUUACAGUGAAGGCGUACCUGCAAAAUAAUAUUGUCACGGAGUGGUCAUUUCGUACCAAAGAGAAUAAUUGAAAAAAAGACAGGGAUGGACCGAGAUCCGGAAAACAAAGUAUUGAUGUCUCUCCGCCUAGCUCGAGUAAUGGAAACCUACCUGCUGAGAGAGAAUAUUGAGACUAUGGUUGACCAUCUAAAGGGUGUAAAGACGACGAAUUUCCAUUUUGGCAGCCAGUCAGAAGGAUCAACAACUUUAGGCAUGCGUUCAGAUAUUGUUCAACUCAAAUGUACGGAAAACAUCAACAUCAUAUUUAACUUGACGGACUGGGAGUACGGGAUAGAGACUUACCUGAUGGUUAAGGAGGGGGAUUCUCCACCACAACACUACUGGUUACAGUAUGUCAGGGAAGAUUCUCCAGAACCAAAUGGAUAUUAAGGACAGGAAGAUGGCGUACCGCAUGAGGAUGGACGUGUGUUUUUGAGCAAUCGGGUAGAAAAAAGGCUGGGUAAGGUUUUAUGGAAACAGAUGUGUAAGUAGUGGACCUUCGGUUAGUUAUUCUGUGGAAUGGGAUUAUGUCAUUGCAUUGAAGUGUAAACAGUUGCCACCGGAAGUACAAUGGAGGUUUUUA